Molecule: non-coding RNA, 450 nt
Organism: Maylandia zebra (zebra mbuna)
Lineage: Eukaryota; Metazoa; Chordata; Actinopteri; Cichliformes; Cichlidae
Source: RefSeq, a predicted model, not a curated record
UCUCUCUUGGAAUAACAUUGCCCAAAGGGUGAAUAAAGCAAAUUGUGGCAAUAAUAGUGAUUUAAUGAUUGGAGAAAUCCUGAACAUGAUACUUGUCUGUUGUGCUGAAUCUUUUAUUACUCUUAUGAUUUGCAGGUGGUUGUAAAUAAGCUGUUUACUUUAACAGGUUUGCUUUCUAGCUGAAUUGCAAAAUACAACUAGAACGAUUAAUUGAGACUAAUCGCAACUAACCGGAAACUGAGGAGGUUCUAUAUAAGGAAGAACUAAAACAGGUAUAAAGUGCAUUUGAUCUUUAAUUGCAGGUUGUUGCUCAUUAUUGAAGUGUGCUCAUAAAGGCAAAACCUAUAUAGGGGGUCUAUAAUUUGGUUUGUGUUUUAAUAAUUUAGGUAUGGCAAAAUUAAAGGUUUCUAGACAAUUUAGGGAACGAGUGAGAAGCAUAAUUAGAUGAUC